Molecule: transfer RNA, 73 nt
Filed under: Ovis aries (sheep)
Lineage: Eukaryota; Metazoa; Chordata; Mammalia; Artiodactyla; Bovidae
Rfam family: tRNA
About the family: Transfer RNA (tRNA) molecules are approximately 80 nucleotides in length.
Source: Rfam by way of RNAcentral
UCCCCAGAAGUCCAGUGUUUAAGACUCUGUGCUUCCACUGCAGGGAACACAGGUUCGAUCCCUAGCUGGGGAA